AUGGCCUCCUUGAGCACAGCCAACUCCACCCUCUCUGGCCAGAUCACCGAACGCCUUACCAGAACCAAUUAUAUCCUAUGGCGUACCCAGAUCACACCGCAGCUUCGAGGGGCUGGAUUCUUCGGCUAUGUGGACGGGAGCAUGCCGGAGCCGGCCAAGGUCGUCGUCAGCAAGGACAAGGAUGGCAAGGAGGAGACCAUCCCCAACCCGAUUCACUCGGUUGGGAUCCGAGAGGAUCAGCAGGUGCUUGGUUACGUUCUGAAUAACCUCUCCAAAGAAGUGCUUGUGCAGGUGACUUCGAUCGCCCACGCACACGAACUCUGGACAGCAUUGGCGGGCAUGUUCUCGUCCACA
This 354-nucleotide ribosomal RNA is filed under the name Triticum aestivum (bread wheat). RNAcentral's name for it is "partial small subunit ribosomal RNA". The record is from RNAcentral. Lineage: Eukaryota; Viridiplantae; Streptophyta; Magnoliopsida; Poales; Poaceae.